AAUAGCGUGUCUCCAUCCUGACUUCCUAUACCAGUCGAACGCACUGUUCGGCAAGAUGGGCAUGGAACACUACACCAAGGUCAAGGACCUCGGUGGCACCAACGGCGCCUUCCUCGCGCGUGACCGGCAGCAGCCGGACCGGCUUGUCGUCAUCAAGCGGCUGGCGGAUGGCACUCAAGGAAUCGAGGAGCUCAACGCGUCGCUGCGGCUGCGGCACCCGCACAUUGUCCGCUUCCUCGAGUCCUUUGUAUAUAACGGUAGCCUGUUCGUCGUCAUGUCGUACGAGUCCGGUGGCGACCUCGACGGGCUCUUCCACUACCUCACGCAGAGCCACAGGACGCCGACGACGCAUACACUGCUGCUGUGGUUUGUGCAGCUGCUGGAGGCCCUUGCGUACUGCCACGAUAGCCACGUCAUCCACCGCGACAUCAAGCCGAGCAACAUCCUCGUCUCCGAGGACACGAAGGUGCUGUACCUAGGCGACUUCGGCUCUGCCAAGACCCUCAGCACCUCCAACGUCACCUCCACGUUUGUUGGAUCGCCGAUGUGGAUCUCGCCGGAGGUGCUGCUGGGCACUAGCUACGGCUACGCCGCCGACGUGUGGUCGAUGGGCUGUGUUUUCUACGAGAUGGCAACGCUGCGCAAGCCGUUCUCGGCCCCGAGCUUCGCGCACCUGGUGCAGCAGAUCACGUGGGGCCACAUCACACCUCUCCCGGCACACGUAGCGCAGGAGGUGAGAUCGAUCAUCCACUCCAUGCUCGUGCUCGACCCCGCGCAACGCGUGACUGCCAAGGCGGCGCUGGAGGUGGCGCGAGGCGCCCUUGGCCGCGCUGAGGAGCUCCGCCAAGCGUCGCCGUCUCCACUGCGCCCUGCAGGGAUGCCGUCUAAGUCCUCUGCGACGUCCUUGCCACCCCGACUGACGUCGCCGCCAGAGGUGGUCGCGCACCAGCCGCGGCAGACCCCACCGCCGCCGUCCCCUCCGCCGUCGCAACCCUACUCUUCGUGCCCGUCUGCCAGCAGCACCACACCACCUCGAAAGGGGGGCCUCACGCAGACGGCGGCCCCGCCGGUGCCGACCCCAUCGGAUUCAACGCCGCCGCCCUCCAGCACCGUAAGCGACCCGCUGUUGGUUGUCGCGUCGGAGGCGAAGGCCGGCGAGGAUCCGACGCCACACGGAUCCCCUCCCAGUGCAGCCGCACCCGAAUUCUCGUCGCAAGCGGCCGUAGUGAAGCAACGCCCCGGCGCGUCGUCGCCUGCGUCGAUUUUGGAAGAACCGACAGCUUCCCCCACGCCGCAGCCGCCUGUGGGGGGGGCUCCCGCGUCAAUGCAGCCGCCGGCGGUGCUUGUGGUAGCGGCCGCACCGCCAGCCCCCGCAGCGAAGAAGGAAGCAACAGUGCGAGACAAGGGGGCGCCGGCGGCGUCACCGGUGGUGGAUGCACAACUCCGCGUGCCGCAGCAGAUGGUGCUGCAGAUCUCCACCACGGGUUUCAGCAAGCCGGCGCAGCGCAAGAAAGCGGCUCCGAAGCGCAAGAACGUGGCGACGCACAAGGCAGGCCCGCUGCCACUGCGGCAGCGAGUGCCGAGCGUCCCGGCACCGACCUCACCACCAACCGAGGCACCAAAGUUUGUGCGGCAGCUCAGCACAGACUCGCUGUCCAGCCGUCGUGCCGCGGAGCUGUUCGCACCCUCGCGCGGAAGCAGUGGGCCCACAAAGGUGGUGGUGAAGGCGGUGCCGCCGGCGCACGUGGCGAAGCGCGCCUUGGCCGUGGCGGGCAACCGGGAGAACCCACCGCGUGUGCCGAAGGAGUCGCCGACGCGGGAGGCGCGAGCGCUCCAGAAAGCGCCACUGAAGCCGGCGCUACAGCUGCCUCCCAAGCCCGCCGCCCUGCCCUCCGACGCCGCGCCGGCAGACCAGUGGUUUGAUCAGCGGAUGCGUGACCUGUGCGCCAUGGAGAACUACCUCCACCAGCACCGCGUGGAUGAUGACAAGGUGUUGCAGACAUACGAUGCACGACGGCACAAGGAGGAGCAGCAGUGCGAGUCGGCGACCCCAGGGACGCGUGCAGCAGGGAGGCCCCCGGCGGCGCGCCGCCGCAGCCCUGCGACGAAGUUUGCCAGUCCGGCACAGCCACCCGGUGUGCUUGUCAUGACGCCACCGCGCCAUCGCCACCUGUCAGAAGGUAUCCCCGCUCCACCUGCACUGCCCGCUGCGCAACAGCAGCAGCAGCGACAACAGCGGCCUGGCGCGGCCUCGCCCUUCGUGAGACAAGCGUCGUACGUUUGUCAGGGAUCGCAUCCCGCCUGCCGCUCCGAAUCGAGGCAGAGUAGUCUUUCAUCCACGUUCAACGGCCGCCAGGCGAGCAACGCCCGGGCGCGGGCGCGCGUGUCGCUGGAGGAGCAGCUGAAGAACGAGGAGGGGCGCGUGAUCGCGCGCGAGAAGCGCGAGGCGGAGCGGCAGCGGAUGAAGGAGCUCAUCAGCGCACAGCGCGCCGCGGCAAAGCAGCAAAAACGGAAGGCCAGGAAGGACGACGCCGUCGACGUCCAGAUCGUCUUGCCCGACCGCCUGCACUACGCCCCCGACUCCGCCGUGCCGGCGGACUAGGCGAGACGAGAGCGAGGGCCGGGAGUGGGCACAGACAUGUGCUCCAGGCCGCCCUCUCGUGAGAGCUGCUCCUGUGGCAAAGAUGCGCAAGCCGCAGUUAUGUAUCAUACCACUCUUGCGCGUGAGUGUUCGUAUCGUUUUCUCUUCGUUGACCCCACAUAUCCUCCUCCUACCCCGAUGACGUCGGGGCGAGCGGCGGCAGUGAACGCGUUUGUGGUUCUCAUCGGAUAGGCAAAAAGUGUCCGCGCGACUCGAGCGUAUGCCACACCCGGCCCUCGCACCGCCUGCUGGUGUGGGGCGCCUGAGAGCCACCCUACGGUGCGCGGGGUGGGUGGGCGGCGUUGGACCUCACGCCGUGCGGCAGAGAAAUGAGGCACGCUGAUAACAACAGAGAGCAUGACUUCACUCUCUUCCUCCAGAAAGCGUC
RNAcentral lists this unclassified non-coding RNA (3029 nucleotides) under Leishmania donovani. RNAcentral describes it as "gene:LdHU3.07.0220(CDS-product:protein_kinase_put ative)". Lineage: Eukaryota; Euglenozoa; Kinetoplastea; Trypanosomatida; Trypanosomatidae. The record is from RNAcentral.